CGUCUAACUGCGGGCCAGCAGCCGGGGUAAUACGUAGGGGGCGGGAGGUUUCCGGAAUUACUGUGCGUAAAGCGUAAGCGGGCGGUCUGUUAAGUUUGACGGAAAAUCGCCUGGCUUAACUGGGGGGGGGCGGUGGAGACUGGUAGACGUGAGGCGAUGAGGGGGGCAUGGAAUUCCCGGUGUAGGGGUGGAAUGCGUAGAGAUCGGGAGGAACACCAGAGGCGAAAGCGGUGCCCUGGCAUUGGCCUGACGCUGAGAUGCGAAAGCGUGGGGAGCGAACGGGAUUAGAUACCCUGUAGUC
This 301-nucleotide ribosomal RNA is filed under the name uncultured Desulfurococcus sp. RNAcentral's name for it is "partial 16S ribosomal RNA". It matches the Rfam family "Bacterial small subunit ribosomal RNA", at positions 494 to 795 of the family's 1533-position model. Lineage: Archaea; Thermoproteati; Thermoproteota; Thermoprotei; Desulfurococcales; Desulfurococcaceae. The record is from RNAcentral.